RNAcentral lists this ribosomal RNA (429 nucleotides) under Acidobacteriota bacterium. Its description in RNAcentral is "Acidobacteria bacterium partial 16S ribosomal RNA". It matches the Rfam family "Bacterial small subunit ribosomal RNA", at positions 355 to 776 of the family's 1533-position model. The record is from RNAcentral. Lineage: Bacteria; Pseudomonadati; Acidobacteriota.
UGGGGAAUUUUGGACAAUGGGGGAAACCCUGAUCCAGCCAUCCCGCGUGUGCGAUGAAGGCCUUCGGGUUGUAAAGCACUUUUGGCAGGAAAGAAACGUCAUGGGUUAAUACCCCGUGAAACUGACGGUACCUGCAGAAUAAGCACCGGCUAACUACGUGCCAGCAGCCGCGGUAAUACGUAGGGUGCAAGCGUUAAUCGGAAUUACUGGGCGUAAAGCGUGCGCAGGCGGUUCGGAAAGAAAGAUGUGAAAUCCCAGAGCUCAACUUUGGAACUGCAUUUUUAACUACCGGGCUAGAGUGUGUCAGAGGGAGGUGGAAUUCCGCAUGUAGCAGUGAAAUGCGUAGAUAUGCGGAGGAACACCGAUGGCGAAGGCAGCCUCCUGGGAUAACACUGACGCUCAUGCACGAAAGCGUAGGGAGCAAACAGG